Daucus carota subsp. sativus is the source of this 628-nucleotide long non-coding RNA. RefSeq lists it as uncharacterized. The transcript has 2 exons. The record is from RefSeq and is a predicted model, not a curated record. Lineage: Eukaryota; Viridiplantae; Streptophyta; Magnoliopsida; Apiales; Apiaceae.
AAUUACAAGCCAAACUACUCUUCUUAUUCUUCUGCUUAGCUACACACAUGGAGUUGUUUUAUGAUAUUCACGGUGUUGAUCAAAAUAGCAGCUAUGAAAACGAUGGUGAUGACAUGUUUUAUGCUGAACUUGAGCGGAGAAUUCUUGUGUUGAUUAAUACGGCCGAUGAGAGCGGUGAUCAUGCGAAUAAUUCGACGAGGCGAAUUAAUAAUUAUUCGUCUCGUCGAGAUCAAAGAUAUUUUGAUUGGACGGAGACGGAGAAUCCUCCUAGCUCGGUGCCGAGCACGAUUUCGAACUUGUGGAGAUCAGCUAAUGUUAACGGAACUGGAGUCUUCAUUCCUCAUAUGGUUAAAGCUAAAAGAAGAAACAAGAAUCGAGGAAGAAAAGUAAAAACGGAACGAGAAAUUUACAAGGCAAGAGCGGUGGCAAACAAGAAUUGACUCGUAUAUUAGUCAAAAGAAGUUAGCUAGAAAAUUUGUGAAUUCACAUAUACAGAUAUACUUGCUUUCGCAAUAAGAAUACCUCUCGCAAUAGCUCGAGAGUAGCUGAUUCAGCUCCCUUGAUAGCAAUACAGAUUUGUAAUUAUAUUUCAAUAUUGAAUUCAUUAUUUCGUUUGAAGAUUGCAAAA